RNAcentral lists this ribosomal RNA (253 nucleotides) under uncultured bacterium. RNAcentral's name for it is "partial 16S ribosomal RNA". It matches the Rfam family "Bacterial small subunit ribosomal RNA", at positions 524 to 776 of the family's 1533-position model. The record is from RNAcentral.
UACGUAGGGGGCAAGCGUUGUCCGGAUUUAUUGGGCGUAAAGAGCGUGUAGGCGGUUGGGUAGGUCCGUUGUGAAAACUCGAGGCUCAACCUCGAGACGCCGAUGGAAACCCCCCAGCUAGAGUCCGGAAGAGGAGAGUGGAAUUCCUGGUGUAGCGGUGAAAUGCGCAGAGAUCGGGAGGAACACCCGUAGCGAAGGCGGCACUCUGGGCCGGUACUGACGCUGAGGAGCGAAAGCGUGGGGAGCGAACAGG